GACGAACGCUGGCGGCGUGCUUAACACAUGCAAGUCGAACGGACCCUUUGGGGUUAGUGGCGAACGGGUGAGUAACACGUGGGUGAUCUGCCCUGCACUUUGGGAUAAGCCUGGGAAACUGGGUCUAAUACCGGAUAGGACUACGCACUGCAUGGUGUGUGGUGGAAAGCUUUUGCGGUGUGGGAUGGGCCCGCGGCCUAUCAGCUUGUUGGUGGGGUGAUGGCCUACCAAGGCGACGACGGGUAGCCGGCCUGAGAGGGUGACCGGCCACACUGGGACUGAGAUACGGCCCAGACUCCUACGGGAGGCAGCAGUGGGGAAUAUUGCACAAUGGGCGCAAGCCUGAUGCAGCGACGCCGCGUGAGGGAUGACGGCCUUCGGGUUGUAAACCUCUUUCGCCAGGGACGAAGCGCAAGUGACGGUACCUGGAGAAGAAGGACCGGCCAACUACGUGCCAGCAGCCGCGGUAAUACGUAGGGUCCGAGCGUUGUCCGGAAUUACUGGGCGUAAAGAGCUCGUAGGUGGUUUGUCGCGUUGUUCGUGAAAACUCACAGCUUAACUGUGGGCGUGCGGGCGAUACGGGCAGACUGGAGUACUGCAGGGGAGACUGGAAUUCCUGGUGUAGCGGUGGAAUGCGCAGAUAUCAGGAGGAACACCGGUGGCGAAGGCGGGUCUCUGGGCAGUAACUGACGCUGAGGAGCGAAAGCGUGGGGAGCGAACAGGAUUAGAUACCCUGGUAGUCCACGCCGUAAACGGUGGGUACUAGGUGUGGGUUUCCUUCCUUGGGAUCCGUGCCGUAGCUAACGCAUUAAGUACCCCGCCUGGGGAGUACGGCCGCAAGGCUAAAACUCAAAGGAAUUGACGGGGGCCCGCACAAGCGGCGGAGCAUGUGGAUUAAUUCGAUGCAACGCGAAGAACCUUACCUGGGUUUGACAUGCACAGGACGCCGGCAGAGAUGUCGGUUCCCUUGUGGCCUGUGUGCAGGUGGUGCAUGGCUGUCGUCGGCUCGUGUCGUGAGAUGUUGGGUUAAGUCCCGCAACGAGCGCAACCCUUGUCUCAUGUUGCCAGCACGUUAUGGUGGGGACUCGUGAGAGACUGCCGGGGUCAACUCGGAGGAAGGUGGGGAUGACGUCAAGUCAUCAUGCCCCUUAUGUCCAGGGCUUCACACAUGCUACAAUGGCCGGUACAAAGGGCUGCGAUGCCGUGAGGUGGAGCGAAUCCUUUCAAAGCCGGUCUCAGUUCGGAUCGGGGUCUGCAACUCGACCCCGUGAAGUCGGAGUCGCUAGUAAUCGCAGAUCAGCAACGCUGCGGUGAAUACGUUCCCGGGCCU
RNAcentral lists this ribosomal RNA (1330 nucleotides) under uncultured bacterium. RNAcentral's name for it is "bacterial SSU rRNA". It matches the Rfam family "Bacterial small subunit ribosomal RNA", at positions 28 to 1381 of the family's 1533-position model. The record is from RNAcentral.